UAUGGGGCAGAAAUUUGGGGUCUGUGGGUCGAUCUAUGGGGCGGGAUUCGGGGUUUGGGGGCUGGGAUUUGGGGUCUAUGGGGUGGGAUUUGGGGUUUGGGGUCAAUCUGUGGGGCGGGAUUUGGGAUCUAUGGGGAAGGAUUUGGGAUCUGUGGGGCGGAUUUGGGAUCUAUGGGUCGAUCUAUGGGGCUGGGAAUGGGGUUUGGGGUCGGUUAUGGGGCAGAUUUGGGAUCUCUGGGGCCCAUUCGCUGCUGCUGGCGGCACUUGUGGGGCUGGGGCCGCUGCUGUGGGGCAGAGGGGAUCCCCACAGCGUGCUGGCCUCGCCCCAUAACCGGCUGGAGGCCCGCCUGACCGCCAGCGCCCCCGCCUGGACCUGGCUGCUGAUUGGCUCCCUGCUGGUGGCCUCCUACCCGUGGCUCCGCCCCCCCUGGCGCUCCGCCCUGCGCGCCCUCGCCCGAUUGGCCGUCGCCGUGGCGCUGUCCCGCGCCGGCCACGCCCUCGGCCACGCCCUGGAGGCCGCCACCGGAAGCUGCACAAGCCCCGCCCCCGGCGGGACGCUGCUGCUGCCAAUCAGAGAGCCGGAAACCUGCCGGGGGGCGGGGCAUCGCUGGGAGGGGUUUGGCCCCGCCCCCCAGGCCUUUGACCUGGUGCAUUGUGGGUUGGGGCUCGCCGAGGAGGCGGCGGCGCUGGGGAGGAGGAUCUACGGGCUGGGCAAGAUGGCCGCCGCCAGCAAGAUGGCCGCCGGGCACAAGAUGGCUGCCAUGCGCAAGAUGGAUGACCCAUACAAGAUGGCUGACCCAUACAAAAUGGCCACCACGCACAAAAUGGCCGACCCAUACAAAAUGGCCGCCGGUAGUGAGAUGGUUGAAAGAUCCAAGAUGGCCGACGCACCCAAGAUGGCUGACCCAUACAAAAUGGCCGACCCAUACAAAAUGGCUGCCGGGUAUGAGAUGGGUGAGAGAUCCAAGAUGGCCGCCGGAUAUGAGUCGGGUGAGAGAUCCAAGAUGGCCGACCCAUACAAGAUGGCUGCCGUGCACAAAAUGGCCGACCCAUACAAGAUGGCUGCCAGUAGUGAUACGAUUGAGCAAUCCAAGAUGGCCGCCGGAUAUGAGACAAGUGAGCGAUCCAAGAUGGCCGACCCAUACAAGAUGGCCGCCGGGUCUGAGAUGGUUGAGCGAUCCAAGAUGGCCGCCCCAUACAAAAUGGCCGCCGGUACUGAGACUAUUGAGAGAUCCAAGAUGGCCGCCAGGUAUGAGACAAGUGAGCGAUCCAAGAUGGCCGACGCACCCAAGAUGGCCGCCUGGUCCAAGAUGGCCGCCUGGUUUAAGAUGCUGCCUUGGUUCAAGAUGGCCGCCGGGCCCAAGAUGGCCGCCGGAUAUAAAACAGGGGAUGAAUCCAAGAUGGCCGCCGGAUCCAAGAUGGCGGCCGGAUCCAAGAUGGCCGCCGAACACGACACAGAAGAAGAAUCCAAGAUGGCGCCGUGGGCGUGGCCGCGCCCAACAUGGCGACCAAUCGGCUUCGAGUGGGCGGAGCCCUCUCAUGCAAAUGAGGGGUGGGCGGGGCCAUUUUGGGGCGGCCAUUUUGAAGGGCGACACGGCGGCGGCCAUUUUGAAGUGGAAAGGGGCGGCCAUUUUGAAUCUGGCCGCCAUUUUGCUUCCGGCCGCCAUUUUGAAUCUGGACGCCAUUUUGAUUCCGGCCGCCAUUUUGAAGAAAGACACGGCGGCCAUUUUGAAUCCGGCCGCCAUUUUGCUUCCGGCCGCCAUUUUGAAGAAAGACACGGCGGCCAUUUUGCUUCCGGCCGCCAUUUUGAACUUCAACGCGGCGGCCAUUUUGACGGCGGCCAUUUUGAAUCCGGCGGCCAUUUUGAAUCCGGCGGCCAUUUUGAUCCCGCUUUUUUCCUCCCUCACCCCGGCCGCCAUUUUGAUGCUCCCGGCGGCCAUUUUAACCCCCCAGGCCGCCAUUUUGACUAUCCUGGCGGCCAUUUUGACCCCUCCGGCGGCCAUUUUGACCCCUCCGGCGGCCAUUUUGACCCCUCAAGGCGCCGUUUUUUCACCACCGGCGGCGGCGGCCAUCUUGCGGGCGGCCAUCUUGGGCCCCCGCCGGCGGCGCUGUCGCUGCUGUUCCUAUUGGCUGUUCUGCUGCUGCUGACGUGGCACUUCCUGUUGGUGGUGACGCUCCUGUACCGGCACAGCCGCGCCCGGAACGCCGCCGGCGCCGCGCUGGGAUGGGCCGGGUGGGCCCUGACCUACCGCGGGUGGUACCGGCGGCCGUGGGCGCCCGGCCCGCCCGGCUGGGGCUGA
Long non-coding RNA from Taeniopygia guttata (zebra finch), 2300 nucleotides. Lineage: Eukaryota; Metazoa; Chordata; Aves; Passeriformes; Estrildidae. The record is from Ensembl.